CACGCCGUGCGAACACCAGUCUGUGGUAGGCUGGUUACUGUUCGCGAGUGUUUGUUGCCCCUCCUUGGGCGAGGAUUUUUCUUCCCCACCUCACUGACUUCAGCAAAUCAUUUCCCAGAAGCAAGGGGAGAAUUAGACUCCACCUCUUGAUGGGAAAGCAGCAAGUCACACUGCAGAAGAAUCUGUGGGACGGAAGCUAUUAUUGUGGCUGUCUUUGGAGGAUGCAAUCUGCCACAGUGGGGAGUUGGCAGCACUUGACUCUGUGACCCGCCAGAAUCUGUGACUGCCUCACACAAGCUCCAUUUUGAGCGGCCCCCAGGACUCCUGCUCCUGUCGCGUCACGCAGUCGGCUGCCUGUUGUGAUCCUGGAAACCCGCUUAGUUCAGUCCAUUGAUGUGAAUUUCUGGGAGCAAUUUGGCCACUUUGUUUCUUAUUUUUCCAGCCCUUUCCUUAACACUUUCUAUUCGCAAAAUAUUUGCUUAAAGCAAUAGUGUCAAUCAUUAAUGUUCCUAAGUAUUCCACAGUGAGCUUGCUAGAAAUACCAGGCCCUCUUCUCUGUCUUUAGAUUCUGAUCUAAUAAGAUCAGAUCGAAUAGUAGAGUGCUAGUGAUACUGAUGAAGGAAGUCCAAGGGUUGCACUUCGGGGAAAAAUGGCUUACAUGUAUGAGGGGUGGAGGUAAUGAAGGAUAGCCCUCAAUCCUGCCUGCUCUCUUGCUCUGUUGGGGAAGCCUCAGUGGAAUGUAGGAAGUUUGCCCAUGCCUUGUACAAUGGAUGGAAUACUACUCAGCAAUAAAAAGGGACUGACUGCUGAUACCCAGAACAGGGAUGAAUCUCAGAAGAACUCGACCGAGUGAAAGAAGUCACACAUAAGAGUGCAGACGAUAGAAACGGGAUCAGCGGUUAUUUGUGGGAGCGAGGGGGAUUGACUGGGAGGGGAUUUGAGGCAACUCUGGUGAUACAAAUGUCUGUGUCUUGAUUGACAAGGGUGUGCAUUACAGGAGUAUAUGCCUUUGUCAAAAUCUAUCCAACUGUACGUUUACGAUCUGUGCUUUUCAUUGUAUACAAACUAUCUUAAAUGUUUUAACUUGACUAUACCCGUUUUGGGUAACGAUAAAAUUAUUUUUACCAAUUUUUUUUUAUCAAUUUGUAUCCCUUAAAAGCAUGCAAAAGGCAAAACAAAACCUGUUGAGAUAGAAAGUGAUCUAACAAAGUAUUGCAAACAUGGUGCGCACUCAAUAAAAAUGUAUUCACGACUGACGGUCACGCAAGAGUAGUUCAUUGCAACAGUCUGUUUAUAAGAUGCCUCCUGGCAGUCCAGCAACAUAGUCAAAUUCAGCACUGUAUAGGAGAUUAAAAUUUCCAAACCCUAUAAAAAUAUUUUUAGCAAUCCUCCAUCCCAUCAAUCCAGUUAUUCAGCCUUUUCAUGGGAGUACAAUAAAUAAAAUCAAUACCUUUUAUUACUUCACCACCAGAAACUGUUACUAUAGCCAAAUUCAAAGAUGUAAGGCUGUCUGCAAGCUGAUCCCUCCUUCAGGGAGUAUUUUAUGAGGAAAGUGCACUGUUAUAAUUUGGUGUGAAGAAGGAAGGCUAUCCUUAAAUCCUAAGAAGGACUUUGCAGGUUGAAAAAGCACAAAUCAGGAGUAUCAGUCCCCUCUGUAUGAGCUCUAGCUGGAUAAAUACAGGGAAAAAAGUCAACUAUUUUUUUCAAAGAAAUAGUUUCCUGAAAAUAUAUACAGGAUGAUUUUUAUAUUUAUUUCUAUAAUAAAAAGGAUAUACUACCGCAUCCCAGGCAAACGGGACAAAUCCCUCCUUAGUACUUAUCUUUCUUAAUUGUGCUCUGUUUCUAGCGGUAACUGGCCUCGUGAUAUGUGUGUGACUCUCUUCCUUUACAUUUCCACCCACUUUGAGGAGUAUGACCAAAAAACCCCAACUAAGCAAACAAGCAAAAAUGCAAAUCAAAUCUUCAGAUUAAAAGAUAAUUUCCUGUGAGAUUAUGCAUCCACAAUGUUGAAGAUAUGCACUUGAAAGCAUCCGUUAUCGACAGGAGCUCUCCAAAUAUUUUCCAUUGUUUUGUCUCUACAGAAUUCACCAAUAGAGAAGAAAUAAAGAAUAAAACAUUUUAGGACAGCUAUCACUGGAGAAAUACGAUUUUCUUUUUCAAUUUCUAGAGGAUAAGAUUUUUAAAGGGAAAAAAUAAAAAUGAUGAAAAAGUAAGGACAAUUCAAAAACUGGGAAAAGUUUAAAUCCUUCAACCACAUAUAAAAAUUUUCAUUUCGUAAUAAAAGAAUUAGAGCUUUAACAAUUCAAACUGUGUUUGUUCUGGUGAUCUCAAAAUCUGGUCCCCAGAUCAGCAGCACCAGCAGCACCUGGGAACGUGUUCGAAAUGCACAUCCUUGGGCCCCCGCCAGGCCUGCUGAGCUGGAAACUCUGGGGGCGGGGCCUGGUCAUCUGUUUGAACAAGUCCUCCAGGUGAUU
This is a non-coding RNA of Equus caballus (horse), 2474 nucleotides long. Lineage: Eukaryota; Metazoa; Chordata; Mammalia; Perissodactyla; Equidae. The record is from RefSeq and is a predicted model, not a curated record.